RNAcentral lists this ribosomal RNA (468 nucleotides) under uncultured bacterium. RNAcentral's name for it is "partial 16S ribosomal RNA". It matches the Rfam family "Bacterial small subunit ribosomal RNA", at positions 28 to 507 of the family's 1533-position model. The record is from RNAcentral.
GACGAACGCUGGCGGCGUGCUUAACACAUGCAAGUCGAACGGAAAGGCCCUGCUUUUGUUGGUUGCUCGAUUGGCGAACGGGUGUGUAACACGUGAGUAACCUGCCCUUGACUUUGGGAUAACUUCUGGAAACUGGGGCUAAUACCCGAUAGGAGCUCCUGCUGCAUGGUGGUGGUUGGAAAGUUUCGGCGGUUGGGUCUUGACUCGCUGCUUAUCAGCUUGUUUGUGGGGUAGUUGCUUACCAAGGGUUUGACGGGUAGCCGGCCUGAGAGGGUUACCGGCGACAAUGGGACUGAGAUACGGACCAGAAUGCUACGGGAGGCAGCAGUGGGGAAUAUUGCAGAAUGGGCGGAAGCCUGAUGAAGAAACGCCGCGUGCGGGAUGACGGCCUUCGGGUUGUAAACCGAUUUGGACUGUGACGAAGAGAGAGUGACGGUAAUGGGUAAAGAAGCACCGGCUAACUACGUG